This 1650-nucleotide long non-coding RNA is filed under the name Stegodyphus dumicola. RNAcentral describes it as "uncharacterized LOC118200780". The record is from RNAcentral. Lineage: Eukaryota; Metazoa; Arthropoda; Arachnida; Araneae; Eresidae.
CACAGAAACUGCCAGUGAUUAUGUGGAAUUUUCCAACUUCCGUUCUGUCGACCGCAAGAUACCGCGUCACUGCGGCGUCAAAAGACCCAAAGUGAUCGAAUCUGAUGGAGAUUUCUUCCGCGUCACUUUCAAGUCCAACGACAAAUUUGACGGCACGGGAUUCGAAGCACUCUAUCACUUCAAACCAUAUAUCGAUCCUGCUACAGUAAAGAGGAUAUCUAGUACCGAUACAAAAAGUAGCUCUAACACCUGUGCAUCCCAGGUCGAUUUGCUUCUACUUCUAUGGGUGACGAAAGCUGUUCUGUCAGUAUUGCUAUACUAAACUUGGUUGUAGAGAAUUGAAUGCUGAAUUUCGCUAAAAGGACAUCUGAAGUUGACAAAAGCUGGGCACUUUGAGAAUGUUAUAUACGACUGCUGGCUAUCGAAUCACAAUUCCUGGAGAAAUUUUAUAAACUGCUUUCUUUUUUCUCCUCGUGUGUUGUUCCGACUGAAAAUAAAAUUACUGCUACUUACCUUCGUGGGAAAUGACUUCACAUUCUUUCUACCGGUGCUGCCAUCUAUUGCCAGAUGUUUGAAACUUCGUCUGAAAACUAAUUAAUGUGUGGAAGAACUUUUUCGUGCUUUCGAAGAAUGAGAAAUUCUCUUCGUUUUCUCUACGAUAUAUUUAUUCGCAAACAAAUUUCUAUGAAGUAUCCCUAAUUCCAUUUAGGGGGGAUAUUUGAUCCUGAGAAUUAUUAUGGAAACUGCUUCUUGCAAAAUAUUCUUCGUGAGUGUAAGAUGCAUUGUUGUCUGAAAUCUCUGAACUUUCUGAGAGAGAAAACAAUGAUUCGACGACGAUGGGAAAAUUUCAUUUAUAAAAGGAGAAGACUUUAUGGGCACUUUUGGUGAUACAUCACAGUGCAUCGCAAUUUUUUUUAAAUUACAGCAGUCUUUAAAUGAGCGUAGAUCAAUGGAUAAUUAUUAAAAAUGGAUACAUAUUUUUACCAUAAAACUCAUUUAACAGGCCAAUAUUAUUAGAGAAGAAAACAACUGUAAUUGUUCCUGACUAUGUUCUAAAGCAGUAAGAAGAAUUACGCCUAGAUUAUUGAUACUUUGAGUUUUCGAAUUGCAAUUUGUAUUUGACCAGAUGUAAUUGAACGAAAAUAUUUAUUAAUUUUAGAGAAAAUAUUAUAAUUCUGCUUCACUUACCUUCGCAACAUAACAAUACUGUAUUCGUAAAAAAUUCCUAAAAGACUAAAAUGUUAACUUAUUUAUUCAACUUCAUCUAUUUCAGGUGGCAUUAAAAAAAUAAUCAUUCAAAACACCGUACUCUAAUUCGCUGUGAAAUUCCAUCCACUCGUAACAUAUUUCUUACUCCCAUUAUAAAACAUUAUUAUUCAUUUCGAGCACUGGCUUUCUAGAUUUAUAUUUAAGUAAAAGUCCUUUUAAUAGUCUUUGAUCUUUUUAAAGUAUAAGUCAUUUAAAUGAAUUCCAAAGAAUCGACAAAAUAAGAAUUUAAUUUAUUUAAAUGAGUUCCGAAGAAUCGACAAAAUAAAGAUUUAAUUUAAUAACAUAAACAGGUUCCUCACAAUUGCGUAUUUUGAAGAAACUGGCAUUAACUAAACACUAAGCAAUUCAUCAUCUGAAAGUUUUUUUUUUUUUUUUUUUUUU